Long non-coding RNA from Acanthopagrus latus (yellowfin seabream), 1115 nucleotides. RefSeq lists it as uncharacterized. The transcript is spliced from 4 exons. The record is from RefSeq and is a predicted model, not a curated record. Lineage: Eukaryota; Metazoa; Chordata; Actinopteri; Spariformes; Sparidae.
UGAAAACUCUUAAAUGUCAAAGUUUGACCCAAACAUUCAUAGAAUAAUCGCAGCAGCAGCAGCGUUAAACUGCCUUAUGACUGGAGAAAAUAUUCAGGAGAACUCAGGGGUCCCAACCUUUUGUUGAGUCUGCAGCUGAUCUCGAGAUUGCAACAGAGAUACAAUGCGCCCGCCGCUGCCUCCACACACGCAGACAGACUGCAGAUUGAACCGAACUCUUUCAGGAGAGUAUCUCUGGCCUCAUCAGCAGCAUGACGUCCAUUUAUGAGGUGAGCAGCAGCCAUUAAGACUCUGGCAGCAGCACCACCAGCAGCAGCAGCAGCAGCGGUGGCAGUUUUAAGAAACAAUGCUCCGUCCUUCAGCUUCGAUCCAACUAUAACACACAUCUCAGCAGGCUUUCGAUUGGACACCCAAUCACCUACAUCACAUAUAUAUGGUAUAAAGGCACGACAGAACUCCUGCGACUCCAGCAGGCUUGGACUACGAACAACCGGCUGUCUGCAAGUUUUGUUAUUUGUUUCGAAGCAUUUUCCUGAGCAUUUUCCGAGUAGAUGAUGGCGAAAUUUUCAGCUGUGGGUGAAAUUAUACUUUAAGCACACCUCCAAAUGGGAACAUUACUCGAGUGCCUCGUACUUUACUUCUCUAACAUUACAUUCUACUGCAGUUAGUUCACAGUGAGCGGCUUCUGGCUACUUUUUCUGAUUCCGAUGUUACACACACGCCAUGUAAUGACCUGAUAAAACAUGGUGCAUGUUUAGUCAGCAGCAGCCCCAACAACAGACUCUUACCUCUGCUGCCUGAAGGCUAAACAGAGACGAUAAGGGGUUUGUUCACUCCAGUGAUCCAGUGAUUACGGAAGAUUUCACCUGAUGUCAUAUAAUUAUGAAUUAGUUACAUUGUCCCAUUUUCAUGGAGCUCAUUAUUGGCUACAUUGUCUCACUGUUUCUCUGUUUGAUUUUUCACAUACCCUCUUUAUUGUAUUGUUUAUUUGUUUGACGUAUAUGUAUAGUUAUGUAUCUUUUAGUAUUCACAUAUUUGUCCAUUUGUAGAUUCACUUUCUAUUUUACAGCUUUAUUUUAUCUCUGUUCCAUUUAUUUAAUCUAUUUUUAAAGAUU